RNAcentral lists this transfer RNA (73 nucleotides) under bacterium. RNAcentral's name for it is "tRNA-Lys". It matches the Rfam family "tRNA". From Rfam's summary of the family: Transfer RNA (tRNA) molecules are approximately 80 nucleotides in length. Their secondary structure includes four short double-helical elements and three loops (D, anti-codon, and T loops). Further hydrogen bonds mediate the characteristic L-shaped molecular structure. tRNAs have two regions of fundamental functional importance: the anti-codon, which is responsible for specific mRNA codon recognition, and the 3' end, to which the tRNAs corresponding amino acid is attached (by aminoacyl-tRNA synthetases). tRNAs cope with the degeneracy of the genetic code in two manners: having more than one tRNA (with a specific anti-codon) for a particular amino acid; and 'wobble' base-pairing, i.e. permitting non-standard base-pairing at the 3rd anti-codon position. The record is from RNAcentral.
CCGCCCAUAGCUCAAUUGGCAGAGCAGGUCCCUCUUAAGGACAAGGUUCCAGGUUCGAGGCCUGGUGGGCGGA